This 600-nucleotide unclassified non-coding RNA is filed under the name Hevea brasiliensis (rubber tree). Lineage: Eukaryota; Viridiplantae; Streptophyta; Magnoliopsida; Malpighiales; Euphorbiaceae. The record is from RNAcentral.
UUUCCUCUGUCAGUAAUCUAUUGCGGCAUCAAAGGUAAUUGAAUUGCUGCUUUUUGUGGUUUGUGCUGCUACUGGUGUGUGAUGUGAUUUGCAUAUUUUGUGUUUGAUGUUGAAAUUUGUUACUAGAAGGGAAUCAUUUUUCGUGCCAUGAACCCUAGACAAUUUUAUGAAUUAAUCAUAUGCAAACUUGACCGUGAAUUUACAACUAGGCUUCACUAAUAUCUAACAACCCCUAGUUUAGAAUAUCAGUGCAGUUUCUGUGAUUAAUACGACGGAGUUAUGCUUAGCAAAAGGAUUCAUCUCUGAUGAUUUACCUCUUGGAAACAAAGAAAAAGUAAAAAAGAAAUCAUCUCUGAAAUUAAUUACCCUGAAGUUCUGCCUCAUCACUUGAUUCACUUGAUGUUUGGGCGUUAUUGGAAUUGACUCUUUCUCAACUAGAUGCUAUUGCAAUGUAAAAUUGUCUGUCUAGUGCGUUGGACAGAAACUGUUCCUGAAGAUGGUGACAUCAAAACCCCACUAUGGAUUGAAGAGUGGUAAUACCCAUUUCAUCAACAGAUAGUAAUCUAAUCAUUGCUUGAAAUAUGUGGUAACACUGUUAUA